Molecule: unclassified non-coding RNA, 19 nt
Filed under: Chlamydomonas reinhardtii
Lineage: Eukaryota; Viridiplantae; Chlorophyta; Chlorophyceae; Chlamydomonadales; Chlamydomonadaceae
Description: small RNA Cre_1796
Source: RNAcentral
GCUGGUCCGAGGUCAGGGG